This 921-nucleotide ribosomal RNA is filed under the name Paraphanocles keratosqueleton. Its description in RNAcentral is "SSU rRNA". It matches the Rfam family "Eukaryotic small subunit ribosomal RNA", at positions 416 to 1277 of the family's 1831-position model. The record is from RNAcentral. Lineage: Eukaryota; Metazoa; Arthropoda; Insecta; Phasmatodea; Diapheromeridae.
CCAAGGAAGGCAGCAGGCACGCAAAUUACCCACUCCCGGCACGGGGAGGUAGUGACGAAAAAUAACGAUACGGGACUCAUCCGAGGCCCCGUAAUCGGAAUGAGCACACUUUAAAGACUUUAACGAGUAUCCAUUGGAGGGCAAGUCUGGUGCCAGCAGCCGCGGUAAUUCCAGCUCCAAUAGCGUAUAUUAAAGUUGCUGCGGUUAAAAAGCUCGUAGUUGGACUUGUGUCCCGCGCUGUCGGUUCACCGUUCGUCGGUGUCUAACUGGCAUGCCGCGGGGACGUCCUGCUGGUGGAUGCGGUCGGCCGUGGGCCUCUGGCUCGCGCGUCGGCGGUCCGGUGCAAUCCUACCGCGGUGCUCUUCACCGAGUGUCGAGGUGGGCCAGCACGUUUACUUUGAACAAAUUAGAGUGCUUAAAGCAGGCAUGGGUUCGCCUGAAUACUGUGUGCAUGGAAUAAUGGAAUAGGACCUCGGUUCUAUUUCGUUGGUUUCCGGAACCCGAGGUAAUGAUUAACAGGGACAGACGGGGGCAUUCGUAUUGCGACGUUAGAGGUGAAAUUCUUGGAUCGUCGCAAGACGAACCUAAGCGAAAGCAUUUGCCAUGAAUGUUUUCAUUAAUCAAGAACGAAAGUUAGAGGUUCGAAGGCGAUCAGAUACCGCCCUAGUUCUAACCAUAAACGAUGCCAGCCAGCGAUCCGCCGACGUUCCUAAGAUGACUCGGCGGGCAGCCCCCGGGAAACCAAAGCUUUUGGGUUCCGGGGGAAGUAUGGUUGCAAAGCUGAAACUUAAAGGAAUUGACGGAAGGGCACCACCAGGAGUGGAGCCUGCGGCUUAAUUUGACUCAACACGGGAAACCUCACCAGGCCCGGACACCGGAAGGAUUGACAGAUUGAGAGCUCUUUCUUGAUUCGGUGGGUGG